UAGCUCAAUCGGUAGAGCGUAAGACUCUUAAUCUUAAGGUUGCGGGUUCGACCCCCGC
This 58-nucleotide transfer RNA is filed under the name Coemansia sp. BCRC 34962. RNAcentral's name for it is "tRNA-Lys". It matches the Rfam family "tRNA", at positions 8 to 63 of the family's 71-position model. From Rfam's summary of the family: Transfer RNA (tRNA) molecules are approximately 80 nucleotides in length. Their secondary structure includes four short double-helical elements and three loops (D, anti-codon, and T loops). The record is from RNAcentral. Lineage: Eukaryota; Fungi; Kickxellomycota; Kickxellomycetes; Kickxellales; Kickxellaceae.